RNAcentral lists this ribosomal RNA (492 nucleotides) under uncultured bacterium. RNAcentral's name for it is "partial 16S ribosomal RNA". It matches the Rfam family "Bacterial small subunit ribosomal RNA", at positions 29 to 507 of the family's 1533-position model. The record is from RNAcentral.
AGUGAACGCUGGCGGUAGGCCUAACACAUGCAAGUCGAACGGCAGCACAGUAAGAGCUUGCUCUUACGGGUGGCGAGUGGCGGACGGUUGAGGAAUACAUCGGAAUCUACUUUUUCGUGUGGGUUAACGUAGGGAAACUUACGCUAAUACCGCAUACGACCUACGGGUGAAAGCAGGGGAUCUUCUGACCUUGCGCGAUUGAAUGUGCCGAUGUCGGAUUAGCUAGUUGGCGGGGUAAAGGCCCACCAAGGCGACGAUCCGUAGCUGGUCUGAGAGGAUGAUCAGACACACUGGAAGUGAGACACGGACAAGAGUCCUACGGGAGGAAGCAGUGGGGAAUAUGGGACAAUGGGGGGAAGCAUGAUACAGAAAGACCGCGUGGGUGAAGAAGGCCUUAGGGUUGUAAAGACCUUUUGUUGGGAAAGAAAAGCAGCAGGUUAAUACCCCGCUGUUCUGACGGUACCCAAAGAAUAAGCACCGGCUAACUUCGUG